RNAcentral lists this ribosomal RNA (492 nucleotides) under uncultured bacterium. Its description in RNAcentral is "partial 16S ribosomal RNA". It matches the Rfam family "Bacterial small subunit ribosomal RNA", at positions 29 to 507 of the family's 1533-position model. The record is from RNAcentral.
AGUGAACGCUGGCGGUAGGCUUAACACAUGCAAGUCGAACGGCAGCACAGUAAGAGCUUGCUCUUACGGGUGGCGGGUGGCGGAAGGGUGCGGAAUACAUCGGAAUCUACUUUUUAGUGGGGGGUAAGGUAGGGAAACUUACGCUAAUACCGCAUACGAACUACGGGGGAAAGCAGGGGAACUUUUGACCUUGCGCGAUUGAAUGAGCCGAUGUCGGAUUAGCUAGUUGGCGGGGUAAAGGCCCACCAAGGCGACGAUCCGUAGCUGGUCUGAGAGGAUGAUCAGCCACACUGGAACUGAGACACGGUCCAGACUCCUACGGGAGGCAGCAGUGGGGAAUAUUGGACAAUGGGCGCAAGCCUGAUCCAGCCAUACCGCGUGGGUGAAGAAGGCCUUCGGGUUGUAAAGCCCUUUUGUUGGGAAAGAAAAGCAGCAGGUUAAUACCCGGCUGUUCUGACGGUACCCAAAGAAUAAGCACCGGCUAACUUCGUG